Triticum dicoccoides is the source of this 2994-nucleotide long non-coding RNA. RefSeq lists it as uncharacterized. The record is from RefSeq and is a predicted model, not a curated record. The transcript is spliced from 7 exons. Lineage: Eukaryota; Viridiplantae; Streptophyta; Magnoliopsida; Poales; Poaceae.
UCGAUGUAUGCUCUCCUCGCCGCCUCUGCCCGCCGCCGCCCUCGGUCUUCUUCUCCGACCGUCCGCCGCCGCCCGCCAGUCUUCUUCUCCAGCCGUCCGCCGCCCGUCCUCCUUCCCCUCCACAUCUGCCCCUAAUCUUCUCCGGCGCCGCCCAUAGCCUCCUCAAUCUCCAACCUAUUGUUCUCGUGCUUCUCUGAUUUGGAUCGAGAUAGGAGUCCUGGAUCGAGUUAGGGUCCGUGUUCUUCUCCAACACAAAGCUAUGGAGGGUCCUGUAAUAAGAAGGAAGGAUCCUCGACCGGAAUCUGCCCCAGGCAGGACCUCAAUGGCGACCUGCAGGCCCGGCCUCUCUCUCUCUCUCUCUCUCUCUCUCUCUCUCUCUCUCUCUCUCUCUCUCUCUCUUUCGACUCCCUCUUUUUGCGACCUCAAGAAGCUACGGCGGCUCAUCCUCGAGGCCAAGCUCGUGCAAUUCCGACGACUCCAGGCCUAAUUUGUUUCCUGCUCUAUCUGGUCCAAGUGAUGCGCCAAGGGGAUUUGCACCAGCUUUCAGGAUUGUUCAGUUUCAUGCUAAGAAAAAAAUAGGGUUGAGGGGAACCACUUCUUUGGCGUGUUGUUCCAAUAGUUCAUGAUGAUGAGAGUCCAUGCCAGCGCAACUCUCGCAAUUCUCUGAACUCUUUCUGAAGUAUACUGCAAGAUUCGAUUAUAGUGUGGCCUUCAAAUCAGAGCUACAAUAUUGCCUUUGUAGCUGCAUGGGCCAGGAGUGAACUAAACUCGUCCGACAGUGUUCUACGGUUCGCCGCAACUUCGUAGGCCGGUUUUCCACUUGAGGUAUGUAGACAAGGAGGAUUGAAAUCAUGGUAUUUGGUUCUCUGCAAUCUAUAGUAAUAUGUCUUUGGUCUUAUUUUCCUACUGCUGGUUGUGUUUGUGGUACAUAAUACUCUGAUGUUGAAAGGGUGGAUCAGGUCAUGGAGUACCUAUGCCCCCAUCGAGUAGCUUAUGCGUCCUAUAUUUAGCUUUUCAAGAUUAUUAGAUGUUUUAUGUCAAGAUGAAUACAUGGAUAGUCCGCUAUUUGCAGUAUUGUUAUAAUUGCUCCCUGCUUCCGAUAAAAUGAUUUCUUUUGUUCAUUAGAGUUACAGUAUUACAAUGCAAUGGUUGUUAUAAUAUGGAGAACUGGUUAAUUAUAAGAGAGUGUCACAUAUGAGGAUGAAAGCAUGGAUCAGCUCCUGUAGUAGUUAUCUUUGAUUUACGACAGAGUUUACUUAUGGUUAUAGAAUGGAACUUUGUAUUAUUUUGCCAUCCUAUUUCCUUUUUGAAAAUAGCUACAGCAACUGUCAGUUUAAAUUGAUGCGAGCAAGUAAAUAACGCAAUUUUCUUAAUAACUUUUGCCGCACAUAUUGUAACUGUAAGCCGCUAUUCAGGAUCAAGGUAACUCUCUAUGUAAUUCCAGAGCAGAGGUUUAUAAGGUAACUCUCUAUGAAACAGAUGUUUUGUGAACGAGCAGAUUUGAUGUUUGAUUUGCAUAAACAUGGGAAAUUCAUAGUUAUUUACUAUUCAAAUUUGAAGCUAAUAUGGUAUUUGAUUCAUGCAUAGGGCUGAAGGUUUUACUCAAAUUCGUGUUAUACUAGAGUUAGCGCCUAAAAAAAUGUCAGUGUAUCUCUUGGGGGAGGAGGUGGGAGAGAUGUAGCAGGUAGAAGAUGGACCGUGGAUAAGAAAGAGGAAGGGAUAAAGUGUCAAUUGGCAAUGAAAACUUUAGUAUUUGUGAUGUAAAUUUGAAUGCUAAAGUUUGAAUUUUUUUUCCUGGUCUUAAUUUUUUCUUUCAAAUGCAAGUGGAUUAAUCUGCAUAAAAUUUAAUAAUAUGUUGUAUUCAACUUUAUUUGGAUUUGCCUUCCACUCAUAGGUCGGAGUCUAGAGUUUACGCAUACCGUUGCAUCAAUAUUGUUGCAUCAUGGUCAAUUCUCUUGGACAGAUAGCUGAGGCCAUUGCAUAAUUUCAGAGGUACUUAUAAAUAUAAAAUGGCUUUCUUUAGCAAAAAUGCAAAAGUUACGAUGUUUAUUUUGAUAACCUUGACAAUGUCAAGUACAUAGAAUUGGAAUGGAGCCGAGCAACCCUGGUUCAUUGUAACUGGUGUUUGCUUCACAUCGAAUCAUUGAAGGAGUAUGAUGCUGCUUUGGAAGGAGGCUUUUCUCAAUCUGUGUUGCUUUCGGAGCGAGGCUGGGCCACAUCCACACUAUUGUCGCUCGCCUGCCUGGGCCUGGGACGUGUUAUUGAAGCCUUCACCAUGCUACAGAGGACAGUCAUGAAGCUCAGUGUUAGAAGACAAGUUGGCUUCGUAUAUUGGCGAAAUCUCAACCCAUGUUCUUCAGUUGGCUUCAUAUAUUGGAUGUUGACACUUCGCUUGCUUCUGAUAAGAAUGCUUGGAAAGUUAUAAUGAAAAAUGGAAAACUUGUGUAGUUUUACAAGACAAGUAAGCGCCUAUGACCUUUCCUAUCCGACACAACGCAAGUGCGCACGACAGCUAGCACAACAAACAAACACCAAGCAAGCACACGUACACAGCAGUAGCAUGUACUCCCUCCGUAAACUAAUAUAAGAGCGUUUAGAAUACUAAAGUAGUGAUCUAAACGCUCUUAUAUUAGUUUACAGAGGGAGUAGAAGCUAUCACACACGCGCCCGACACAACAGCCGACUCGGGACUGGAUGACCACGACGUGCGUGGGUUGAGGCCUCACCGAAGGAGCGGCGCUUGCGGUGUCUGCAUGUUCGGCCUCGCUACACUCCAUCAUAGUCACAUCACGGAGCGCUGCAGUAGGGCAACGAUUCUGCUAGAGGUAAAUAGGGGUUUGGGGUGCUAUUGUCCAAGAUUGUGCUACCAAGGAUUGUGGAUCUUAACUAUUAGACUAUUCAUUUGUAAUCUUAAUCUAUAAAAAGAAAGUAAGGUUGUAUUGUAUUUAGCACUCUUGUGAUAAGAAUGCUUUUUUUGUUGUUCUUAUUAAAACA